This 990-nucleotide ribosomal RNA is filed under the name Hyaloperonospora barbareae. Its description in RNAcentral is "LSU rRNA". It matches the Rfam family "Eukaryotic large subunit ribosomal RNA", at positions 72 to 855 of the family's 3401-position model. Lineage: Eukaryota; Oomycota; Peronosporomycetes; Peronosporales; Peronosporaceae. The record is from RNAcentral.
GGAUUCCCCUAGUAACGGCGAGUGAAGCGGGAUGAGCUCAAGCUUAAAAUCUCUGUCACAAAUUUAUUUUGUGCGGCGAAUUGUAGUCUAUAGAAGCGUGGUCAGUGUAGGCGCUUGGGUUAAGUUCCUUGAAAAAGGACAGCAUCGAGGGUGAUACUCCCGUUUGUACCUGAGUGUCUUAUGCGUACGACCCGUUUUCUUUGAGUCGCGUUGUUUGAGAAUGCAGCGCAAAGUAGGUGGUAAAUUCCAUCUAAAGCUAAAUAUUGGUGCGAGACCGAUAGCGAACAAGUACCGUGAGGGAAAGAUGAAAAGAACUUUGAAAAGAGAGUUAAAGAGUACCUGAAACUGCUGAAAGGGAACCGGAUCGUUUCUAGUGUCUAUAAUCCGUGACAUAUUUCAUUGGCGGGCGUGUGCGUAUGUGUACUAUGGCAGCGGCUAAUUGGCUGCGCUUGGUGUGCGUGCUGUGUGUGCUUACUGGUGCCCUGUGUUAUGGUGGGACGUCAAGGUCAGUUCGUAUGCUGCGGGAAAUGGCUACUGAGGAGGUAGGGCUUACGCUUGCGUUUGUCUGUUAUAUCUUGGUGGUUUUGUCGUGGUUGGGACUGAGGUGUUCUACAACGUGCUCUUGAGUGGGUCUGCGUCUCCGUGUGCACCGUGUGCAGAUAGCUUGCUAUGUGUGUGUGGUUGUGUGUAGAUUGAUGCGGGCUUGAACUUGUUGCCGUUCGGGACUUUGACGAAAUAGAGCGAUUUGACCCGUCUUGAAACACGGACCAAGGAGUCUAACAUGUGUGCAAGUGUUAGGGUGUGGAAACCCCAGCGCGAAAUUAACGUAAAGGAUAGCGUAAGCUGUCUUAGGUAGGAAACGUUGCGGAUUUCGGUCUGUGGCGUGGCACUAUCGACCGAUCAUGAACCUUCGUGGUGAAAGAUUUGAGUUAGAGCACAUAUGUUGGUACCCGAAAGAUGGUGAACUAUGCCUGAGUAGGGUGAAGCCAG